Molecule: ribosomal RNA, 334 nt
Filed under: uncultured eukaryote
Lineage: Eukaryota
Description: partial 18S ribosomal RNA
Rfam family: Eukaryotic small subunit ribosomal RNA
Source: RNAcentral
CCCUUAGAUGUCCGGGGCCGCACGCGCGCUACACUGAAGGAAUCAGCGUGGCUUUCUCCCUGACCCGAAAGGGUUGGGAAACCCGUUGAAUCUCCUUCGUGAUAGGGAUUGGGGCUUGAAAUUGUUCCCCAUGAACGAGGAAUUCCCAGUAAGCGCGAGUCAUAAGCUCGCGUUGAUUACGUCCCUGCCCUUUGUACACACCGCCCGUCGCUACUACCGAUUGAACGGUUUAGUGAGGGCCUCGGAUUGGUCUCGGCCCACUCUUUACCGGGCGGCGCCGUUGGUCGAGAAGACGCUCGAACUUGAUCGUUUAGAGGAAGUAAAAGUCGUAACA